This 2195-nucleotide long non-coding RNA is filed under the name Xyrichtys novacula (pearly razorfish). The record is from RNAcentral. Lineage: Eukaryota; Metazoa; Chordata; Actinopteri; Labriformes; Labridae.
GUUGGAGUGGCGAUGUGGAGGAGGUCAGAUAGGUAAGGAGGGGCGAGGUUGUGGAUGGCUUUGAAGGUAUACAGGAGGAUUUUGAACUGGAUUCGUAGAGGGACCGGGAGCCAGUGAAGCUGCUGAAGGAUGGGGGUGAUGUGGUGGGACGAAGGGGUUUUGGUGAUGAUACGGGCAGCGGAGUUGUGGACCAGUUGAAGUUUAUGGAGAGACGUGUAAGGGAGACCGAAGAGGAGGGAGUUGCAGUAAUCCAGACGGGAGGUGACGAGACUGUGGACGAGGAUGGAGGUGGUGUUGGGGGAGAGGGAGGGGCGGAGACGAUUGAUGUGGUGGAGGUGGAAAUAGGCAGUGCGAGUGGUAAGGCUGAUGUGGGAUUUAAAAGAAAGAGAACUGUCAAGGACGACACCCAGACUCUUGACCUGAGGUGAGGGGGAAACUGAGGAACUGUCGAUGGGAAGGGAGAGACUGUCAACUUUGGAUAGGGUGGAUUUGGAACCUACAAGAAGAAUUUCUGUUUUCUGACUGUUUAAUUGGAGAAAGUUGGAGGUGAACCAGGAUUUAAUUUCAGAUAGGCAGGUGAUGAGGGAGGUGGGUGGGAGGGUGGAGUUUGGUGAGCUGGAGAGGUAGAGCUGGGUGUCGUCAGCGUAGCAGUGGUAUUGAAUGUUGAAUUUAUGGAAGAUGGAACCAAGGGGGAGGAGGUAGAUGAUGAACAGCAGGGGAGGGGUCGGACUUGAAUGAUUUGAGCUGGAUGAACUGUGUGCGGUCUGAGAGGUAAGAGUGGAACCAGCGGAGGGGAGUGUGGGUGAUGCCGAUGGAGGAGAGUCUACGAAGGAGGAUGGGAUGGGAGAUAGUGUCGAGGAGGAUGAGGAUGGAAAAUGAACCGGAGUCAGAUGCAGUGAGAAGGUCGUUAGCAGUGCGGUUUCGGUGCUGUGGCGGGGGCGGAAACCAGAUUGGAAGGGGUCGUAGAGGGAGUUCUGGGUUAGGUGGGUGUGAAGUUGGCUGGCGACGACCUUUUCCAUUAUUUUGGCUAUAAACGGUAGAUUUGAGAUGGGGCGGAGGUUGUUGAAGUUAUUGGGGUCAGAGCCAGGUUUUUUAAGGAUGGGGUGAUGGCUGCUGUCUUGAGGGAUGCGGGAACAGUUCCAGUGGUGAGUGAGGAGUGAAUGAUGGCAGAUAUGAGAGGGAGCACAGAUGGGAGGCAUGAUUUGAGCAGUGUGGUGGGAAGGGGAUCCAGCUGACAGGUUGAGGGUUUGGAUUUCUGGAUGAGAUCAUAGAUUUCAGAGUCAUUGGGGAGAAGAAAACUGGAGAAGGGCUGGUGGUGUGGCAGGGGAGUAGGUGAGUUUGGAGAGGGUCCAGGGGGAAGAGAACCUGAGUGUAGUUGUUUAUGGAUGUUGGAGAUUUUGUCAUUAAAAAACUGCAUUAGGGUGUUGCAGGUGUCGGUUGAAUACAGGUGGGGAGGGAGGGAGUCCGGUGGCUGGAGAGAUUUGUUGAGGAGAGUGAAUAGUGAUCUGGUGUUUCCUUUGUUGGAGAUGAUCUGGGCGGAGUAGUGGUCUGUUUUUGCGUGAGAAAUUGAGUCCUUGUAGCAGCGUAUGUGGUUAAUGUACAUUUCUUUGUGAAUGGAGAGUCCAGUUUUCUUGUAAAGUCUUUCCAGUUGGCGGCCUUUGGUUUUCAUGGAGCGGAGGUGGGGGGUGUACCAGGGUGCAGUUGUGGAGAAGGAAACAGAGCGUGUUUUGAGUGGAGCGAGGGAAUUGAGGAUGCUAUUUAAACAGGUGUUGUAAUGAGAUGUUAUGUCAUCAGGGGUAGUGUAACAGUCCGGGAUCACAAUAUUCAUAAUCUUAGAGCGCAGAGUGUCAAUGUUUAUGUUCUUAAGGUUGCAGAAUGUAAUGAGGCGUGGUGAAUAAACUCUAGAGAGGGAGAGCGGAAUACUGAAGGAGAUGAGGAGGUGGUCACUUACGUGGAGAUCAUCAGCUGUGCAGUUGGAUGGGAUGAGGCCAGAGCAGCAGAGUAAAUCCAGAGUGUGUCCUUUAGUGUGUGUCGGGAAGUUGAUGAAUUGAUGGAGUCCAAAACUGUCCAGGCAGGAUGAGAAGUCUCUGGUGAGGGGGAGGUUGGUGUUGUCAAUAUGGAUAUUGAAGUCCCCCAGUAUUAUUAUGUUUGGUGAGAGUGUGCAUAGAUGGGUGAGUAGAACCGAAAAGUCAUUU